UACGGGGGGGGCAAGCGUUGUUCGGAAUUACUGGGCGUAAAGGGCUCGUAGGCGGCCUUCUAAGUCGAACGUGAAAUCCCCGGGCUCAACCCGGGAACUGCGUCCGAGACUGGAAGGCUUGAAUCCGGGAGAGGGAUGUGGAAUUCCAGGUGUAGCGGUGAAAUGCGUAGAUAUCUGGAGGAACAUCGGUGGCGAAGGCAGCUCGCUGGGACGGUACUGACGCUGAGGCGCGAAAGCGUGGGGAGCAAACAGG
Molecule: ribosomal RNA, 253 nt
Filed under: uncultured bacterium
Lineage: Bacteria
Description: partial 16S ribosomal RNA
Rfam family: Bacterial small subunit ribosomal RNA
Source: RNAcentral